GAAAUGCGAUAAGUAGUGUGAAUUGCAGAAUUCAGUGAAUCAUCGAAUCUUUGAACGCACAUUGCGCCCCUUGGUAUUCCAUGGGGCAUGCCUGUUCGAGCGUCAUUUGUACCCUCAAGCUCUGCUUGGUGUUGGGUGUUUGUCCCCGUCUCCGCGCGUGGACUCGCCCCAAAGUGAUUGGCAGCCGGCGUACUGGUCCCGGAGCGCAGCACAUGUCGCGCAAACGAGUGCCUUGGUACGGCGGCGUCCAUAAGCCCCUCUCUCACGCUCUUGACCUCGGAUCAGGUAGGGAUACCCGCUGAACUUACGC
Molecule: unclassified non-coding RNA, 310 nt
Filed under: plant metagenome
Description: partial contains 5.8S ribosomal RNA, internal transcribed spacer 2, and large subunit ribosomal RNA
Rfam family: 5.8S ribosomal RNA (bases 1-105)
Source: RNAcentral